Molecule: ribosomal RNA, 499 nt
Filed under: uncultured bacterium
Lineage: Bacteria
Description: bacterial SSU rRNA
Rfam family: Bacterial small subunit ribosomal RNA
Source: RNAcentral
AGAGUUGAUUCUGGCUCAGGACGAACGCUGGCGGCGUGCUUAACACAUGCAAGUUGAACGGUAUGACAUGGAAGCUUGCUGAAGUGUCAUAUAGUAGCGGACGGGUGAGUAAUGCAUGAGAAGCUGCCAUUGGGAGGGGGACAACAGUUGGAAACGGCUGCUAAUACCCCGUAUGCCGGAGGGUGAAAGGGAGUAAUCCGCCCGAUGAGGUGCUCAUGUCCUAUCAGCUGGUUGGUGGGGUAACGGCCUACCAAGGCGACGACGGGUAGCCGGCCUGAGAGGGUGAACGGCCACACUGGAACUGAGAUACCGGUCCAGACUCCUACGGGAGGCAGCAGGUGGGGAAUUAAGUUGGGCAAGUGGGGGCCAACCCUCGACCCAGCGACGCCGCGGUGGGGGAAGACGGCCGUUCGGGUUAGUAAACCUUCUUUUGUACGGGAAGAAGGAAGUGACGGUACUGUACGAAUAACGUCCCGGCUAACUACGUGCCAGCCGCGGC